RNAcentral lists this ribosomal RNA (405 nucleotides) under uncultured bacterium. RNAcentral describes it as "partial 16S ribosomal RNA". It matches the Rfam family "Bacterial small subunit ribosomal RNA", at positions 33 to 526 of the family's 1533-position model. The record is from RNAcentral.
GACGACGCUGGCGGCGUGCCUAAUACAUGCAAGUCGAGCGAGCGGCGGACGGGUUAGUAAUGUAUGGGGAUCUGCCUGAUAGAGGGGGAUAACUACCGGAAACGAUGACUAAUUACGCAUACUAUCGCAUGGAUCCGAUUGGGAUUAGCUAGUAGGUGGGGUAAAGGCUGACCUAGGCGACGAUCUCUAGCUGGUCUGAGAGGAGGACCAGCCACACUGGAACUGAGACACGGCCCAGACUCCUACGGGAGGCAGCAGUGGGGAAUAUUGCACAAUGGGCGCAAGCCUGAUGCAGCCAUGCCGCGUGUAUGAAGAAGGCCUUAGGGUUGUAAAGUACUUUCAGCGGGGAGGCGUUACCCGCAGAAGAAGCACCGGCUAACUCCGUGCCAGCAGCCGCGGUAAUAC